Molecule: ribosomal RNA, 405 nt
Filed under: uncultured bacterium
Lineage: Bacteria
Description: bacterial SSU rRNA
Rfam family: Bacterial small subunit ribosomal RNA
Source: RNAcentral
AAUGGGCGGAAGCCUGAACCAGCCAUGCCGCGUGCAGGAAGAAUGCCCUACGGGUUGUAAACUGCUUUUCCCCGGGAAGAAUAGGGCACCUGCGGGGGUCGAUGCCGGUACCGGGGGAAUAAGGAUCGGCUAACUCCGUGCCAGCAGCCGCGGUAAUACGGAGGAUCCUAGCGUUAUCCGGAUUUANUGGGUUUAAAGGGUGCGUAGGCGGCGAUAUAAGUCAGUGGUGAAAUAUUUCGGCUUAACCGAGAGACUGCCAUUGAUACUGUGUUGCUAGAAUAUGGUUGCUGUGAGUGGAAUGUGUGGUGUAGCCGUGAAAUGCUUAGAUAUCACACAGAAUAUCGAUUGCGAAGGCAGCUCGCAAAGCCAUUAUUGACGCUGAGGCACGAAAGUGUGGGGAUCAAA